GGCGGAAUUGGUAGACGCGCCAGUCUCAGGAGUUGGUGUUCACGGGGACGUGCUGGUUCGAAUCCAGCC
This 69-nucleotide transfer RNA is filed under the name Deltaproteobacteria bacterium. RNAcentral's name for it is "tRNA-Leu". It matches the Rfam family "tRNA", at positions 9 to 64 of the family's 71-position model. From Rfam's summary of the family: Transfer RNA (tRNA) molecules are approximately 80 nucleotides in length. Their secondary structure includes four short double-helical elements and three loops (D, anti-codon, and T loops). Lineage: Bacteria; Pseudomonadati; Myxococcota; Myxococcia. The record is from RNAcentral.